This 468-nucleotide ribosomal RNA is filed under the name uncultured bacterium. RNAcentral describes it as "partial 16S ribosomal RNA". It matches the Rfam family "Bacterial small subunit ribosomal RNA", at positions 28 to 507 of the family's 1533-position model. The record is from RNAcentral.
GAUGAACGCUGGCGGCGUGCUUAACACAUGCAAGUCGAACGGUGAAGGCGGAGCUUGCUCUGCUGGAUCAGUGGCGAACGGGUGAGUAACACGUGAGCAAUCUGCCCCUGACUCUGGGAUAAGCGCUGGAAACGGCGUCUAAUACUGGAUACGAGCUGCGAAGGCAUCUUCAGCAGCUGGAAAGAAUUUCGGUCAGGGAUGAGCUCGCGGCCUAUCAGCUUGUUGGUGAGGUAAUGGCUCACCAAGGCGUCGACGGGUAGCCGGCCUGAGAGGGUGACCGACCACACUGGGACUGAGACACGGCCCAGACUCCUACGGGAGGCAGCAGUGGGGAAUAUUGCACAAUGGGCGAAAGCCUGAUGCAGCAACGCCGCGUGAGGGACGACGGCCUUCGGGUUGUAAACCUCUUUUAGCAGGGAAGAAGCGAAAGUGACGGUACCUGCAGAAAAAGCGCCGGCUAACUACGCG